AAGUAGUGAAGUAAAAGUAUUUACAUUUAGUUUCGACCUAAAAAUAGAGUAAUAUUCUCCUUACUUA
Molecule: transfer RNA, 67 nt
Filed under: Stenophyella macreta
Lineage: Eukaryota; Metazoa; Arthropoda; Insecta; Hemiptera; Pachygronthidae
Description: tRNA-Arg
Source: RNAcentral